AUCUUUGCAUGGAUGAUGAUACGUUAAGUUCUAUGAAAAAUUUAUCCGUCUUGCUAAAA
RNAcentral lists this small RNA (59 nucleotides) under Plasmodium falciparum 3D7. RNAcentral describes it as "Pfa-mtR40c". Lineage: Eukaryota; Apicomplexa; Aconoidasida; Haemosporida; Plasmodiidae. The record is from RNAcentral.